RNAcentral lists this ribosomal RNA (548 nucleotides) under uncultured Glomus. RNAcentral describes it as "SSU rRNA". It matches the Rfam family "Eukaryotic small subunit ribosomal RNA", at positions 548 to 1098 of the family's 1831-position model. The record is from RNAcentral. Lineage: Eukaryota; Fungi; Glomeromycota; Glomeromycetes; Glomerales; Glomeraceae.
UUGGAGGGCAAGUCUGGUGCCAGCAGCCGCGGUAAUUCCAGCUCCAAUAGCGUAUAUUAAAGUUGUUGCAGUUAAAAAGCUCGUAGUUGAAUUUCGGGAUCAGUAUGUUGGUCGUGCUUCGGUACGUACUGUCAUUACUGGUUUCUCCCUUCUGAAGAACCUUGAUGUCAUUAAUUUGGUGUCUUGGGGAAUCAGGACUGUUACUUUGAAAAAAUUAGAGUGUUUAAAGCAGGCAUACGCUUGAAUACAUUAGCAUGGAAUAAUGAAAUAGGACGUUUGAUUCUAUUUUGUUGAUUUCUAGGAUCGACGUAAUGAUUAAUAGGGAUAGUUGGGGGCAUUAGUAUUCAAUUGUCAGAGGUGAAAUUCUUGGAUUUAUUGAAGACUAACUACUGCGAAAGCAUUUGCCAAGGAUGUUUCCAUUAAUCAAGAACGAAAGUUAGGGGAUCGAAGACGAUCAGAUACCGUCGUAGUCUUAACCAUAAACUAUGCCGGCUAGGGAUCGGAUGAUGUUAAUUUUUUAAUGACUCAUUCGGCGCCUUACGGGAAAC